Gallus gallus (chicken) is the source of this 447-nucleotide long non-coding RNA. The record is from Ensembl. NCBI's taxonomy places the organism in Eukaryota, Metazoa, Chordata, Aves, Galliformes, Phasianidae.
GUUUAAUGAAACAGUCAGUGAAAAAGAAUGACUCUUGGAAGAGUGGAUAAAACAACGGCAAGAAUGGCAGGUCCUAUUGAUAGAUGGUUUCUAUCAAUAAACAGAUCUGUUUCAAGUGAGCUACAUGGCAGGAACAAAAGGCAGGAGAGGCCUUGGAGGAGACACAGGAUGAACGUGGAGCGCAGCUGGAUCAGAUCAAUCACGCUUCAUGGCCAAGAAUUAUGGAAAACCUCCAGAGAGGUUCAUUGUUGCAGAAAUCAUCGUGUAGACUUCAGAUACAGCCCGCAGUGUCCGUCACUUGGUGCUUGUCUUGAGGAAAUGCUGCAGAGGAGCCUGUUUGGAUAUCAGCUGGAGAAUUAACCUGGUCAAGUUGGCUCUGCUGAGAUCUGGAAGAAACAGCAUCAUGGAAGCCAGUGGGUUUCAUGUGUACUACACUGCUGGGCAAAG